CAUAUACUCCCUCCGUCCAGAAAUACUUAUCAUAAAAAUGGAUGCAUUUUAAUGUAUUUUAGUUAUAGAUAUAUUCUUUUUUAUCAAUUUUUACGAUUAGUAAUUCCGGACGGAGGAAAUAGAUA
RNAcentral lists this microRNA precursor (125 nucleotides) under Hordeum vulgare. Its description in RNAcentral is "microRNA MIR1122". It matches the Rfam family "MIR1120/MIR1122 microRNA precursor family". The record is from RNAcentral. Lineage: Eukaryota; Viridiplantae; Streptophyta; Magnoliopsida; Poales; Poaceae.